CCUACGGGAGUCAGCAGUAGGGAAUCUUUCACAAUGGGCGAAAGCCUGAUGGAGCAACGCCGCGUGCAGGAUGAAGACCUUCGGGUUGUAAACUGCUUUUAUAAGCGAGAAAUAUGAUGGUAACUUAUGAAUAAGGAUCGGCUAACUACGUGCCAGCAGCCGCGGUCAUACGUAGGAUCCGAGCAUUAUCCGGAGUGACUGGGUGUAAAGAGUUGCGUAGGUGGCAUAAUAAGUAGCUAGUGAAAUCUGGUGGCUCAACCAUUCAGACUAUUAGCUAAACUGUUAAGCUCGAGACCGUUAGGGGUAACUGGAAUUUCUAGUGUAGGAGUGAAAUCCGUAGAUAUUAGAAGGAACACCAAUAGCGUAGGCAGGUUGCUGGGACGGUUCUGACACUAAGGCACGAAAGCGUAGGGAGCAAACGGGAUUAGAUACCCGUGUAGUC
Molecule: ribosomal RNA, 442 nt
Filed under: uncultured bacterium
Lineage: Bacteria
Description: partial 16S ribosomal RNA
Rfam family: Bacterial small subunit ribosomal RNA
Source: RNAcentral